GGGGUUGUGGCUCAGUGGUAGAGCACUUGCCUGGCAUGUAUGAGGCACUGGGCUUGAUGCUCAGCACCA
This 69-nucleotide transfer RNA is filed under the name Ictidomys tridecemlineatus (thirteen-lined ground squirrel). RNAcentral's name for it is "Spermophilus tridecemlineatus (thirteen-lined ground squirrel) tRNA". It matches the Rfam family "tRNA". From Rfam's summary of the family: Transfer RNA (tRNA) molecules are approximately 80 nucleotides in length. Their secondary structure includes four short double-helical elements and three loops (D, anti-codon, and T loops). The record is from Rfam by way of RNAcentral. Lineage: Eukaryota; Metazoa; Chordata; Mammalia; Rodentia; Sciuridae.